AUACGUAGGGUGCGAGCGUUGUCCGGAAUUACUGGGCGUAAAGAGCUCGUAGGUGGUUUGUCGCGUCGUCUGUGAAAUUCCGGGGCUUAACUCCGGGCGUGCAGGCGAUACGGGCAUAACUUGAGUACUGUAGGGGAGACUGGAAUUCCUGGUGUAGCGGUGAAAUGCGCAGAUAUCAGGAGGAACACCGGUGGCGAAGGGGGGUCUCUGGGCAGUAACUGACGCUGAGGGGCGAAAGCAUGGGUAGCGAAAAGGAUUAGAUCCCCUGGUAUUCCAGGCCGUAAACGGUGGGCGCUAGGUGUAGGGGUCUUCCACGACUUCUGUGCCGUAGCUAACGCAUUAAGCGCACCGCCUGGGGAGUACGGCCGCAAGGCUAAAACUCAAAGGAAUUGACGGG
Molecule: ribosomal RNA, 397 nt
Filed under: uncultured bacterium
Lineage: Bacteria
Description: partial 16S ribosomal RNA
Rfam family: Bacterial small subunit ribosomal RNA
Source: RNAcentral